This 490-nucleotide long non-coding RNA is filed under the name Prunus dulcis (almond). RNAcentral describes it as "sRNA ncRNA". The record is from RNAcentral. Lineage: Eukaryota; Viridiplantae; Streptophyta; Magnoliopsida; Rosales; Rosaceae.
AUGUUUUACUCAAGAUUAUUCAUCAGCUUGAAUCUUUUAUUUUUCUCUCUUUCUCUUCAAGAGACCUUUGGAGUUCGUUACGCACCUCAAGUUUUGGGGCAUAAUUGUUUCAAUCAAGAAGAAUUUCCAGCCAAAGAGUAUUGUGAGAAUAACAUGAAUACGUUACUGACAGAAGUAUUAUCGAAAAAUAUUUCAGAUUUAGGAUAUAAAAGUGGAGUUACCAAUGGUACAUCUAAAUCUAUAAUAGAACAAAAUACUUUUAUUUAUGGGUUAGCACAAUGUUGGAAUUAUCUUCUUAAGGACAGUCGCUACACACCAUGCAAAAAAUGUGUGAGUACAGCAAGCCUAGAGCUUCGCAAGCGUUGCCCUUCUAAUCGAGGAGAAUUUGGAUGGUAAGCUGCCUCUUAAAAUAUUCCAAUAUAAAUUUUUUUGGUGCAAGUGACACAAAUAAUAGGAUUUAUGAGACAAAUUCCAAAUUCAUUAAUGAUCC